This 109-nucleotide non-coding RNA is filed under the name Staphylococcus microti. RNAcentral describes it as "SAM-I sequence". It matches the Rfam family "SAM riboswitch aptamer (S box leader)". From Rfam's summary of the family: The SAM riboswitch is found upstream of a number of genes which code for proteins involved in methionine or cysteine biosynthesis in Gram-positive bacteria. The record is from RNAcentral. Lineage: Bacteria; Bacillati; Bacillota; Bacilli; Caryophanales; Staphylococcaceae.
CUCUUAUCAAGAGUGGUGGAGGGAUGUGCCCUUUGAAGCCCGGCAACCGUCUAGUGAUAGAAAUGGUGCCAAGUCACAUAAAGUUGUUAGCAACUUUAGAAGAUGAGAG